CGCCUGCCCUGUGACAAAGGUUCAACGGCCGCGGUAUUUUGACCGUGCAAAGGUAGCGCAAUCACUUGUCCUUUAAAUGAAGACCUGUAUGAAUGGCAUCACGAGGGCUUAACUGUCUCCUUUUUCCAGUCAAUGAAAUUGAUCCCCCCGUGCAGAAGCGGGGAUAAAACCAUAAGACGAGAAGACCCUAUGAAGCUUUAGACACAAGACAGACCUUGUUAAACACUUCAAAAUAAAGAAAUAAACUAAAAGAAUGCUGUUCCGAUGUCUUUGGUUGGGGCGACCACGGGGAAACAAAAAACCCCCAUGCGGAUUGAGAAAACAAUUCUCACAACCAAGAGCCGCAGCUCUAGUUAACAGAACUUCUGACUUUUUAGAUCCGGCAAUGCCGAUCCACGGACCGAGUUACUCUAGGGAUAACAGCGCAAUCCCCUUUUAGAGCUCCUAUCGACAAGGGGGUUUACGACCUCGAUGUUGGAUCAGGACGUCCUAAUGGUGCAGCAGUUAUUAAGGGUUCGUUUGUUCAACGAUUAAAGUCCU
This 540-nucleotide ribosomal RNA is filed under the name Betta brownorum. RNAcentral's name for it is "partial 16S ribosomal RNA". It matches the Rfam family "Bacterial large subunit ribosomal RNA", at positions 1856 to 2597 of the family's 2925-position model. Lineage: Eukaryota; Metazoa; Chordata; Actinopteri; Anabantiformes; Osphronemidae. The record is from RNAcentral.